RNAcentral lists this ribosomal RNA (875 nucleotides) under uncultured archaeon. RNAcentral describes it as "bacterial SSU rRNA". It matches the Rfam family "Archaeal small subunit ribosomal RNA", at positions 31 to 913 of the family's 1478-position model. The record is from RNAcentral.
UAUCGGAUUGAUACUAAGCCAUGCGAGUCAUUGCAGUAAUGCAAGGCAGACGGCUCAGUAACGCGUAGUCAACCUACCCUAUGGACGGGAAUAACCUCGGGAAACUGAGUAUAAUGCCCGAUAGAACACUAUGCCUGGAAUGGUUUGUGUUCCAAAUGAAUGUCGCCGUAGGAUGGGACUGCGGCCUAUCAGUUUGUUGGUGAGGUAAUGGCCCACCAAGACUAUUACAGGUACGGGCUCUGAGAGGAGUAGCCCGGAGAUGGGUACUGAGACACGGACCCAGGCCCUAUGGGGCGCAGCAGGCGAGAAAACUUUGCAAUGUGCGAAAGCACGACAAGGUUAAUCCGAGUGGUUUGUGCUAAACGAACCUUUUGACAGUCCUAGAAACACUGUUGAAUAAGGGGUGGGCAAGUUCUGGUGUCAGCCGCCGCGGUAAAACCAGCACCUCAAGUGGUCAGGAUGAUUAUUGGGCCUAAAGCAUCCGUAGCCGGCUCUGUAAGUUUCCGGUUAAAUCUGUACGCUCAACGUACAGGCUGCCGGGAAUACUGCAGAGCUAGGGAGUGGGAGAGGUAGACGGUACUCGGUAGGAAGGGGUAAAAUCCUUUGAUCUAUUGAUGACCACCUGUGGCGAAGGCGGUCUACCAGAACACGUCCGACGGUGAGGGAUGAAAGCUGGGGGAGCAAACCGGAUUAGAUACCCGGGUAGUCCCAGCUGUAAACUAUGCAAACUCAGUGAUGCAUUGGCUUGUGGCCAAUGCAGUGCUGCAGGGAAGCCGUUAAGUUUGCCGCCUGGGAAGUACGUACGCAAGUAUGAAACUUAAAGGAAUUGGCGGGGGAGCACCACAAGGGGUGAAGCCUGCGGUUCAAUUGGAUUC